CUGCUGCAGGCCACCCCAGAGAUGAUAUCAACUGAUGUUGUGCAAUGGACAGGCUCUGGUCUUGCUAUGGCUGAAUAUUGCUUGGAGAAACUCCAUGAGGUUUUGUAUUCUCCCUAGGGAAGGUAAGCUUCCCCAAAUUUCAGGACAAAUUUCCUACGGUCCAAGCCAGACCAACUCUUGGAUGGGCACCAUUAAGGCUUCUAUCUCUCUACCAUUCAUCCCAUCAGCACAAUACCCAUCUUGGGGUUUGGGAUUCUUUUAGAAGACCCAUAUCUCAUGUAAGACACACAUUGGGCCAAUUCUUAAUCUUGGAUCUGCAGGGACUGGGUGGUUGAGUGAUAACUACAGAGCAUCUGAUGAAGAGUGGAUACAGCCAGGCUCUACCUACCUAUAGGAAUUUAUUUGUUAAGGACAGUG
RNAcentral lists this long non-coding RNA (417 nucleotides) under Androctonus crassicauda. The record is from RNAcentral. Lineage: Eukaryota; Metazoa; Arthropoda; Arachnida; Scorpiones; Buthidae.